This 86-nucleotide transfer RNA is filed under the name Klebsiella aerogenes. Its description in RNAcentral is "tRNA-Ser". Lineage: Bacteria; Pseudomonadati; Pseudomonadota; Gammaproteobacteria; Enterobacterales; Enterobacteriaceae. RNAcentral also lists the same sequence under 28 other names. The record is from RNAcentral.
GGAAGAUGCCGCUCAGUGGUGGGCGAACCGGUUUGAACCCGGUGGUGCUGGUAACGGUAGGGGUUCGACUCCUCCAUCUUCCGCCA